CCUACGGGGUGCAGCAGUCGAGAAUCAUUCACAAUGGGGGAAACCCUGAUGGUGCGACGCCGCGUGAGGGAAUGAAGGUCUUCGGAUUGUAAACCCCUGUCAUGUGGGCGCAAAUUAAAAAGAUAGUACCACAAGAGGAAGAGACGGCUAACUCUGUGCCAGCAGCCGUGGUACUACAGCGGUCACAAGCGUGGUGCGGAAUCACUGGGCGUAAAGCGUGAGUAGGCUGUUUCGUAAGUCGUGUGUGAAAGGCGCGGGCUCAACCCGCGGACGGCACAUGAUACUGCGAGACUAGAGUAAUGGAGGGGGAACCGGAAUGCUCGGUGUAGCAGUGAAAUGCGUAGAUAUCGAGAGGAACACUCGUGGCGAAGGCGGGUUCCUGGACAUUAACUGACGCUGAGGCACGAAGGCCAGGGGAGCAAACAGGAUUAGAUACCCCGGUAGUC
RNAcentral lists this ribosomal RNA (446 nucleotides) under uncultured bacterium. RNAcentral's name for it is "partial 16S ribosomal RNA". It matches the Rfam family "Bacterial small subunit ribosomal RNA", at positions 338 to 795 of the family's 1533-position model. The record is from RNAcentral.